CUCUGUGACUCCUACGGGAGGCAGCAGUGGGGAAUAUUGCACAAUGGGCGCAAGCCUGAUGCAGCCAUGCCGCGUGUGUGAAGAAGGCCUUCGGGUUGUAAAGCACUUUCAGUAGGGAGGAAGGUAGUGUAGUUAACACCUGCAUUAUUUGACGUUACCUACAGAAGAAGCACCGGCUAACUCCGUGCCAGCAGCCGCGGUAAUACGGAGGGUGCGAGCGUUAAUCGGAAUUACUGGGCGUAAAGCGCAUGCAGGUGGUUUGUUAAGUCAGAUGUGAAAGCCCCGGGGCUCAACCUCGGAAUUGCAUUUGAAACUGGCAGACUAGAGUACUGUAGAGGGGGUAGAAUUUCAGGUGUAGCGGUGAAAUGCGUAGAGAUCUGAAGGAAUACCGGUGGCGAAGGCGGCCCCCUGGACAGAUACUGACACUCAGAUGCGAAAGCGUGGGGAGCAAACAGGAUUAGAUACCCUGGUAG
Molecule: ribosomal RNA, 473 nt
Filed under: uncultured bacterium
Lineage: Bacteria
Description: bacterial SSU rRNA
Rfam family: Bacterial small subunit ribosomal RNA
Source: RNAcentral